AGCGGCGGAUGGGUGAGCAACACGUGGGGAACCUGCCCCUAAGUCUGGGAUACCAUUUGGAAACAGGUGCUAAUACCGGAUAAUAAAGCAGAUCGCAUGAUCAGCUUUUGAAAGGCGGCGUAAGCUGUCGCUAAGGGAUGGCCCCGCGGUGCAUUAGCUAGUUGGUAAGGUAACGGCUUACCAAGGCGACGAUGCAUAGCCGAGUUGAGAGACUGAUCGGCCACAUUGGGACUGAGACACGGCCCAAACUCCUACGGGAGGCAGCAGUAGGGAAUCUUCCACAAUGGACGCAAGUCUGAUGGAGCAACGCCGCGUGAGUGAAGAAGGUUUUCGGAUCGUAAAGCUCUGUUGUUGGUGAAGAAGGAUAGAGGUAGUAACUGGCCUUUAUUUGACGGUAAUCAACCAGAAAGUCACGGCUAACUACGUGCCAGCAGCCGCGGUAAUACGUAGGUGGCAAGCGUUGUCCGGAUUUAUUGGGCGUAAAGCGAGCGCAGGCGGAAAAAUAAGUCUAAUGUGAAAGCCCUCGGCUUAACCGAGGAACUGCAUCGGAAACUGUUUUUCUUGAGUGCAGAAGAGGAGAGUGGAACUCCAUGUGUAGCGGUGGAAUGCGUAGAUAUAUGGAAGAACACCAGUGGCGAAGGCGGCUCUCUGGUCUGCAACUGACGCUGAGGCUCGAAAGCAUGGGUAGCGAACAGGAUUAGAUACCCUGAUAGUCCAUGCCGUAAACGAUGAGUGCUAAGUGU
RNAcentral lists this ribosomal RNA (743 nucleotides) under uncultured bacterium. RNAcentral describes it as "bacterial SSU rRNA". It matches the Rfam family "Bacterial small subunit ribosomal RNA", at positions 94 to 823 of the family's 1533-position model. The record is from RNAcentral.